GGAAUAUUGCACAAUGGGGGCAACCCUGAUGCAGCCAUGCCGCGUGUGUGAAGAAGGCCUUAGGGUUGUAAAGCACUUUCAGUGGGGAGAAAGGUUAUUCACCUAAUACGUGAGUAAAUUGAUGUUACCCACAGACGAAGCACCGGCUAACUCCGUGCCAGUAGCCGCGGUAAUACGGAGGGUGCAAGCGUUAAUCGGAAUGACUGGGCUUAAAGCGUACGUAGGUGGUUUGUUAAGCCAGCUGUGAAAUCCCCGGGCUCAACCUGGGCACUGCAGUUGGAACUGGCAAGCUAGAGUAGGGUAGAGGGGUGUGGAAUUCCAGGUGUAGCGGUGAAAUGCGUAGAUAUCUGGAGGAACAUCAGUGGCGAAGGCGACACCCUGGACUCAUACUGACACUGAGGUACGAAAGCGUGGGGAGCAAAC
This 423-nucleotide ribosomal RNA is filed under the name uncultured bacterium. Its description in RNAcentral is "bacterial SSU rRNA". It matches the Rfam family "Bacterial small subunit ribosomal RNA", at positions 358 to 773 of the family's 1533-position model. The record is from RNAcentral.